AGCGAACGCUGGCGGCAGGCUUAACACAUGCAAGUCGAGCGGGCACUUCGGUGUCAGCGGCAGACGGGUGAGUAACACGUGGGAACGUACCCUUUGGUUCGGAAUAACGCUGGGAAACUAGCGCUAAUACCGGAUACGCCCUUUUGGGGAAAGGCUUGCUGCCGAAGGAUCGGCCCGCGUCUGAUUAGCUAGUUGGUGGGGUAAUGGCCUACCAAGGCGACGAUCAGUAGCUGGUCUGAGAGGAUGAUCAACCACACUGGGACUGAGACACGGCCCAGACUCCUACGGGAGGCAGCAGUGGGGAAUAUUGGACAAUGGGCGCAAGCCUGAUCCAGCCAUGCCGCGUGAGUGAUGAAGGCCUUAGGGUUGUAAAGCUCUUUUGUCCGGGACGAUAAUGACGGUACCGGAAGAAUAAGCCCCGGCUAACUUCGUG
Molecule: ribosomal RNA, 433 nt
Filed under: uncultured bacterium
Lineage: Bacteria
Description: partial 16S ribosomal RNA
Rfam family: Bacterial small subunit ribosomal RNA
Source: RNAcentral